UCCGUAGGUGAACCUGCGGAGGGAUCAUUACCGAGUUCUACGCUCAAAACCCCCUGUGAACAUACCAAUUACAGUUGCUUCGGCGGGCUGCCCGACCCCCGCGCGCGUAUAAAACGUGUCGCGGGAGGCCGGGCCGCCUUCAGACAGGCCCGCCGGAGGUCUUAAACUCAACGUCUACGCUUUUGCCAUAGCAGUCUGAGUGUUAUAAAAAUAAGUUAAAACUUUCAACAAUGGAUCUCUUGGUUCUGGCAUCGAUGAAGAACGCAGCGAAAUGCGAUAAGUAAUGUGAAUUGCAGAAUUCAGUGAAUCAUCGAAUCUUUGAACGCACAUUGCGCCCGCCGGUAUUCCGGCGGGCAUGCCUGUCCGAGCGUCAUCUCACCACUCAAGCCCGGCUUGGUGUUGGCCGACGCGGGUACAGCGGGCCAGCUGCAGCCUUCUAGGCGAGGCGAACCCUCCUCCCGCGCGGCUCAAAUACAGCGGCGAGACGGUGUCGAGUUUCCCUUACGCGGUAGUUACAAUCUCGUAUCGGACGACCUUCCCGGCUCUGCCCCAACCCAAGGAGGCCCUCGUGGGCCCCUCUAGGGGGUUUGGACCUCCGGGGGGA
RNAcentral lists this ribosomal RNA (604 nucleotides) under uncultured fungus. Its description in RNAcentral is "eukaryotic LSU rRNA". The stretch from base 220 to 373 matches the Rfam family "5.8S ribosomal RNA". Lineage: Eukaryota; Fungi. The record is from RNAcentral.